Molecule: ribosomal RNA, 370 nt
Filed under: uncultured organism
Description: partial 16S ribosomal RNA
Rfam family: Bacterial small subunit ribosomal RNA
Source: RNAcentral
GUAGGGUGCAAGCGUUAAUCGGAAUUACUGGGCGUAAAGCGUGCGCAGGCGGUUUUGUAAGUCUGAUGUGAAAUCCCCGGGGCUCAACCUGGGAAUUGCAUUGGAGACUGCAAGGCUAGAAUCUGGCAGAGGGGGGUAGAAUUCCACGUGUAGCAGUGAAAUGCGUAGAUAUGUGGAGGAACACCGAUGGCGAAGGCAGCCCCCUGGGUCAAGAUUGACGCUCAUGCACGAAAGCGUGGGGAGCAAACAGGAUUAGAUACCCUGGUAGUCCACGCCCUAAACGAUGUCUACUAGUUGUCGGGUCUUAAUUGACUUGGUAACGCAGCUAACGCGUGAAGUAGACCGCCUGGGGAGUACGGUCGCAAGAUUA